Carica papaya (papaya) is the source of this 3994-nucleotide long non-coding RNA. RefSeq lists it as uncharacterized. The record is from RefSeq and is a predicted model, not a curated record. NCBI's taxonomy places the organism in Eukaryota, Viridiplantae, Streptophyta, Magnoliopsida, Brassicales, Caricaceae.
GAAAAAAUUAUGUUCUCAAUUUUGCCCUCUAAUGGAUUGUUCGGAUACGUGAUCAAAACUUCAUAAUUGAAAACCAGAACAACCAGAAACGGGCUACGCUUGAGAUUUCCGAGUUUCGGGGAGCCGCUUCUGAUGAUCAGAUUUAUACUUAUUAGUGAGAUGGAAGAGCAGAAGGUACCGUACGUGCUCGGUGAUUCGCGGAGCAGGGUGGAACGGCUCAGACAUAUGUUGCGGAAUUGAUUCAGUUCAAGGUUGUUGAUGAUGAAAUGCUGAUGGAUACAACUAAAGGCACAAAGACAAAUGGAACUUUGUCUCGUUUAGGAUCUAGAACCAUAUGCAGCAGAUGGAAUGCAUCUGCAAAUAAGUAGCUGUAACGAUUGGGUAUUUUUUAUCCCACACAUUCUUUCUUAGCGUUUUCAGUGUAAGCUUUGAUAUGGUUGUGAUUUUCUGCAAAUAAGUAGCUGUGAUAAUUGGGUCUUUUGCUAGGAGAAAUUAUUGGUGCUUUUUAUGUUUUUAUGAUGAACUUUUAAUUGUUAGGUUCUUAACACAAAGUGUUUUUCCAUUGGUUCAUUUGUGAAAAUAUGACACGGUUGUGACUUAUUAGCAGAAAUGGAUUCUAAUUUGUUCUCUUUCUUUGACAUGCAUAUGCUGUGCUGUCCAUUUGAGAAUAUCAGAGAAAACGAUUUUUGCAUGAAUUUAUUUAUAUGUUAGUUAAAGUUCAUCAAUUUACAGACUAGGUUUGGGGUUUUCAAUAGUAUUACUUGCUAGUUGAGAUGCUUCAUCGACAAAUAUAAAUAAAAUAUUCAGAAGAAAAAUUUUGCUUUUGGGAUUUAUGUUCUCUUUGCAUAAAAUAUUUAUCCUGUCAAACAUAAAAAUUAUCUGGAGUUAUUGUUUUCAGUUAGGCUGCACUUAUGACAGGGAAUUAUUUUUAACUUGAUUCAUGGCUUGAUGGAGAUGAAAGAGAAACCACUGAAGGUGGAUAGGUAGUGUUGUAGGGAAGGAUUAAAUUAUUUAUAGCUUACUUGAUAUUAAGAAGAACCAAGUUACCAUAGUGAUAGAUGAUGUAUUACUUACGGAGGUGGCUUCUAAUGGAGAACUUUUUGUGUGACCUCAGAGCACAACACCCUAUGAAUUUAAUUGGACAACCUCAGCACUUUUAUCAAAUCAUAUGAGAUUCUUCUUAGACAAAACUAAACUAAAAGAACAAGAAAAAAAGAGUGCUCCAGAUCACCUAUAGUCCAGGACUAUACAAAAAUUCUCUGUGAAUUCAGACCAUGUCUCAGACUUACUGCACUCUUGCCACAGUUUAACAUCUGAAUUUGUAAGAUAGUGACUGAACUUUAUAAGUACUUUCCUUGCAUUUCACGCCUGUUAAAGUUAUGCAACCGUUUUUGCGUUCUUACAUAGCUCUUGUUUCAGGAUUGUUCUUUAUUUGUACUUAAUCAAAAGGAUAAAUAUUCAAGCAUGAGGAGGCUUACAUUCAUGUUUCAGAUGGUUACCUUGCAAACAUUCUUAUAAAGGCAGACCUCUUGGUGACAGGUUUGGCAAGUAAUAUUCAUGGACAGGUAUUCUUUAAUCAUUUCUGCUUGCAAUGAGCAUUCAAUUUUGACAAACAAAAUUUCUAAAAGGAAUUAGCAUGAAUUAUUGCUUAAUGGUAGUUGGGGAGGCAAGUAACUUCUAAAAUUCAAUGGUAUUUACAAAUUAAUCUACUUGCUUUCUCUGGCAUUCGCCCUGUAACAGUUUUGUCAUUUGUGCUAAGGUCAAAAUAAGUAAAAAACUCUUAUGUUAUUUUAAAAUAUUUAAACAAGUCCUUUCACCUUUCCGUUCAUAUAUACUUUGAACUUUUGAAUUAUAUUUGAAUAUGCCUCUCAGUUGGCCGAACGUUAACACUUCAAACACCUUCUUAUUUAGUAGUAUAUGGCAUCUAAUGUGGUCAUUCUAAAUAGCCAUUUUUUGGGCUGAGAUGACCAUUUAUUUGGCAUAUUCUGUACAUGUGACAUUGACAUGACAUACACAUAAUUAUAUAUUUACAUAUUUAAUAGAUAACGUUUUAAAUAUUAGAGUAAAUAUCAAAUUCAGUCUUUCAACUUUAGCUUAUCUUACAAUUUAGUUUUAAUUUUUUAUUACAAUUUAGUCUCCGAACUUUUAGUUUUUGUUCGAAAAACAAACACUGUUUAGUCUUUAAAUAAAAAAAAAAAAUUAACUUGUUACUGCCUGAUUGAGAUGCCUUAGUUGAAUGUUCUUCUCUUCCUUUUGCCUGAAAAACUAGGUCACAUCUUUGUUCCCUCCAUCUUAUCAGAUCUGUAAUCCCUAUCUCCAUUUCCUUUUGACAUACUGGAAUCACCAAUGAUAAGCCUAAUUUCCACAGAUAUUUACCUGAUUGGGUGAAUGCACUCUGCUCCUCUGCACUGCAGCAAUUAUGAGCUGGUUGAAGAAGAUGAUUUACGAUGAAAGAGGAUGAUUUAAGGAUUAUUAGGGUUUUUUUAAAAUUAUUUUUAUGAUCCAUAAAUUUUUUAAAUUUCAAACAAGCCAUAAACUAAUUUCAUAUUUUCCAUUCCAUUUUAAAUAAUUUAAGUUGGAAACAAGACAAGAAGUUUGGGGAUUAAAUUGUGACAGAAAAAAUAUUUAGAACUAAAUUUGAGAACUAACUUGGAUAUUUUUCCUAAAUGUUAUAUAAAUUCUAACAUGCACCUCUGUCCAUUUGAUUCAUAAAGCUUUUGUUAUCACCCACUAACCCAUCGUGUUUUCAAGAAGCCACCAUCCUUCCUCUUCCAUCCACAGUGAAAGCUCAGUUCUUGACAGCCUCAAGGAGCUUGAUAAAUACUGAGAGACUAGAACCCAAAGUCUCUAAUUAUAUCAGAAGGAGAGCAAGUGCAUUUCUUUCUUCAAAAAAUAUGUUUGUUUCUUUCUUUCCCUGCAAAAUAACAAGGAAUGAGAUUGAGAAGUUUCUUCCUUUGUUUACAAACUGCUACCCAAAGCCAAUCAACUCGAUAGGUAUAUCUUUAGAAUUGUUUUUUGGUAAGAUAAUUUGAUUUGUUGUGAGAAGUUAGUUUUUACAUUCCUGAAUAUAUAUUUAAUUUUUUUUCAUCUUAAUAAGAAAAAAAAAAUUUAUAAAUGCUUAAUGAUACUAAAACGUGGUAUUAAAUUACAAUAUUUACGGAUGUACAACUCUUGGUUGAUUGAAUACUGAUUCGAAUAAUAUGUCCCUACUUGAAGGAGCAUCAAGCAAGGACUCGUACCCUCGCCCUCCAGCUUGGCGAGCGGGGAAGUAACCGUCAUGACUAAGUGAACUUGGUUGUAUAGAGAUUUAUCUUUUUUAAUAAUAAAUGAAAUGAUUUAUAUUAUAUUCUUUGUUAAUUUAGAAUAGAUAAGGGAAAAAUAUUAAAUAAAGGAUUUUUUUUUCUUAUACUAGAUGACACUGGAGUUCUCUGUUUUUGUUUUCAUAUCGCAGCUGUUUCUUUACUGAGUACAUAAAAAUCAUUAAUGCAAUGGGAAAAAAUAGAAAGAAAGAAAUAAAGAUAUUUUCUGUUUUCUUUGGGUCAGGUGUAUGUGAAAAUAAGUAAUUAGAUAUUGUCAGUUAUAAUCUUUAUUAAUAAAAUAGUAUAUCAGGUAAUUAGAAAUAAGAUAGAUUUUUUUUUUUGGGUUAAAAUGUUUAACUCUCCUUUUUUUUUUUUAUUCUCAUUUUUCUUUAACGUGUGAAGAAUGGAAACGGUAAGCUUUUAAGAGACUUCUCUAUGACCUGCAUGUAUAUAUAUUAUGAGGUGCCAGAUGUGCCUACGUACUAAUGUGAUUGAUGUGAUAUAUCUUAUAUUAAUGAGAUUUGAUCUAAUGCUGAGCUAGGAUUAUGAGUAUGUAAAAGUGAUGCAUUUGAGGGGCUGAGCUAGGACUGUAUGUGUGUAAAUAUGGUGGAUCUGAUGAGAGGCUGAGUGCAAUCAUAUGUUGAUGUGAUCAAAGUGAUGGACUGAUUUCUUACUGAGCUUGAAGCUUUUUUUUU